GAUGAAGAACGCAGCGAAAUGCGAUACGUAAUGUGAAUUGCAAAUUCAGUGAAUCAUCGAGUCUUUGAACGCACAUUGCGCCCCCUGGUAUUCCGGGGGGCAUGCCUGUCCGAGCGUCAUUGCUGCCCUCAAGCACGGCUUGUGUGUUGGGCCCCGUCCUCCGAUCCCGGGGGACGGGCCCGGAAGGCAGCGGCGGCACCGCGUCCGGUCCUCGAGCGUAUGGGGCUUUGUCACCCGCUCUGUAGGCCCGGCCGGCGCUUGCCGAUCAACCCAAAUUUUUUAUCCAGGUUGACCUCGGAUCAGGUAGGGAUACCCGCUGAACUUAAGCAUAUCAAUAAGCGGAGGA
This 346-nucleotide unclassified non-coding RNA is filed under the name soil metagenome. RNAcentral describes it as "partial contains 5.8S ribosomal RNA, internal transcribed spacer 2, and large subunit ribosomal RNA". The stretch from base 1 to 119 matches the Rfam family "5.8S ribosomal RNA", at positions 35 to 154 of the family's 154-position model. The record is from RNAcentral.